RNAcentral lists this ribosomal RNA (497 nucleotides) under uncultured bacterium. RNAcentral describes it as "partial 16S ribosomal RNA". It matches the Rfam family "Bacterial small subunit ribosomal RNA", at positions 28 to 507 of the family's 1533-position model. The record is from RNAcentral.
GAUGAACGCUGGCGGCGUGCCUAAUACAUGCAAGUCGAGCGAACGGACGAGAAGCUUGCUUCUCUGAUGUUAGCGGCGGACGGGUGAGUAACACGUGGAUAACCUACCUAUAAGACUGGGAUAACUUCGGGAAACCGGAGCUAAUACCGGAUAAUAUUUUGAACCGCAUGGUUCAAAAGUGAGAGACGGUCUUGCUGUCACUUAUAGAUGGAUCCGCGCUGCAUUAGCUAGUUGGUAAGGUAACGGCUUACCAAGGCAACGAUGCAUAGCCGACCUGAGAGGGUGAUCGGCCACACUGGAACUGAGACACGGUCCAGACUCCUACGGGAGGCAGCAGUAGGGAAUCUCCCGCAAUGGGCGAAAGCCUGACGGAGCAACGCCGCGUGAGUGAUGAAGGUCUUCGGAUCGUAAAACUCUGUUAUUAGGGAAGAACAUAUGUGUAAGUAACUGUGCACAUCUUGACGGUACCUAAUCAGAAAGCCACGGCUAACUACGUG